This 22-nucleotide microRNA is filed under the name Corchorus olitorius. RNAcentral's name for it is "cme-miR15". The record is from RNAcentral. Lineage: Eukaryota; Viridiplantae; Streptophyta; Magnoliopsida; Malvales; Malvaceae. RNAcentral also lists the same sequence under 1 other name.
GGUGACAGAAGAGAGUGAGCAC